AUUGAACGCUGGCGGCAUGCCUUACACAUGCAAGUCGAACGGCAGCGGGGGAGAAGCUUGCUUUUCCUGCCGGCGAGUGGCGAACGGGUGAGUAAUACAUCGGAACGUGCCCUGUAGUGGGGGAUAACUAGUCGAAAGAUUAGCUAAUACCGCAUACGACCUGAGGGUGAAAGGGGGGGACCGCAAGGCCUCAUGCUAUAGGAGCGGCCGAUGUCUGAUUAGCUAGUUGGUGGGGUAAAGGCCUACCAAGGCGACGAUCAGUAGCUGGCCUGGGAGGACGAUCAGCCACACUGGGACUGAGACACGGCCCAGACUCCUACGGGAGGCAGCAGUGGGGAAUUUUGGACAAUGGGCGAAAGCCUGAUCCAGCAAUGCCGCGUGUGUGAAGAAGGCCUUCGGGUUGUAAAGCACUUUUGUCCGGAAAGAAAUGGCUCUGGUUAAUACCUGGGGUCGAUGACGGUACCGGAAGAAUAAGGACCGGCUAACUACGUGCCAGCCGCCGCCGUAA
RNAcentral lists this ribosomal RNA (508 nucleotides) under uncultured bacterium. RNAcentral describes it as "partial 16S ribosomal RNA". It matches the Rfam family "Bacterial small subunit ribosomal RNA", at positions 30 to 523 of the family's 1533-position model. The record is from RNAcentral.